RNAcentral lists this long non-coding RNA (294 nucleotides) under Setaria italica (foxtail millet). RNAcentral describes it as "long non-coding RNA (SITA_LNC003302)". Lineage: Eukaryota; Viridiplantae; Streptophyta; Magnoliopsida; Poales; Poaceae. The record is from RNAcentral.
UCAUCAGCGGCAACGAGGCCAGCUGCCGGGCCAAUGAGAAGCUCAUCGUCGUCGUCCUCGCCGACCGCACGCCGCCGGGGUCCCGCACCCCGCCAGGGGCUCCGCCCACCAUGUCUCCGCCGUCUCCUUCUCCUAUGCCGAGCCCGUCCUCGCCGCCUCCUGCUGCCGCGCCUGCGCUGAGCCCGUCGUCACCGCCACCCUCAGGCGCUGCUCCUCUGCCGGCUCCCGCCGCCACCCCGACCUCGCCGCCGUCCCCGGCAGCAUCGGCUCCGGCGCCUGGUCCCACGGCCACCC